CGAACCUCUAAUUGCAGGUCUGGGCUGAGCUCCGUGUGAGCAGCAGCAGAGGAGUCCCAGCAGCCCUGCCUCGGCUACUUGAACUGACCAACUGGAGCCAGGCCUCUUGAACCCACCCUCAGCUGUGGUCGUAAAGACAUCUUCCCUGUCUCCUUCCCCUAAACCUAGAAACCUCUAGGACCUCAGACUUGUUCUUCUGUCCACUCACAGGUCGCAGACACAGGUGCUUAGGUGGUAGGAAAUUUAUGCAAGAACUUCUUCCCAUGGGUACGUGAACACACUCCUGAAACUCAUCCCGCUGGUGCUGGGUCUGCAGGAACAACUGCGGCAGGCAGUGCAGAAUGGGGACAUGGAGACCUCCCAUGGCAUCUGUCGCAUCGCCGUGGCCCUGGGCGAGAACCACUCCCGGGCCUUGCUGGACCAAGUAGAGCACUGGCAGAGUUUCCUGGCACUCGUCAACAUGAUUAUGUUCUGCACAGGCAUCCCUGGCCACUAUCCUGUCAAUGAGACCACCAGCUCCCUAACCCUCACCUUCUGGUACACACUGCAGGAUGAUAUUCUAUCCUUUGAGGCAGAGAAGCAGGCUGUAUACCAGCAGGUGUACCGGCCAGUCUACUUCCAGCUGGUGGAUGUGCUUCUGCACAAGGCCCAGUUCCCUUCUGAUGAGGAAUAUGGAUUCUGGUCCUCAGACGAGAAGGAGCAGUUCCGAAUUUACAGGGUGGACAUCUCAGACACGCUCAUGUAUGUCUAUGAGAUGUUGGGGGCCGAACUGCUCAGCAACCUCUAUGACAAGCUGGGUCGUUUGCUCACCAGCUCAGAGGAGCCCUACUCCUGGCAGCACACAGAGGCCCUCCUCUACGGCUUCCAAUCCAUCGCAGAGACCAUUGACGUCAACUAUUCUGAUGUGGUGCCUGGGCUCAUUGGCCUCAUCCCACGGAUCAGCAUCAGCAACGUGCAGCUGGCAGACACUGUCAUGUUCACCAUUG
This 986-nucleotide small RNA is filed under the name Pongo abelii (Sumatran orangutan). RNAcentral describes it as "processed transcript". The record is from RNAcentral. Lineage: Eukaryota; Metazoa; Chordata; Mammalia; Primates; Hominidae.